RNAcentral lists this ribosomal RNA (497 nucleotides) under uncultured bacterium. RNAcentral describes it as "partial 16S ribosomal RNA". It matches the Rfam family "Bacterial small subunit ribosomal RNA", at positions 28 to 507 of the family's 1533-position model. The record is from RNAcentral.
GAUGAACGCUGGCGGCGUGCCUAAUACAUGCAAGUCGAGCGAACGGACGAGAAGCUUGCUUCUCUGAUGUUAGCGGCGGACGGGUGAGUAACACGUGGAUAACCUACCUAUAAGACUGUGAUAACUUCGGGAAACCGGAGCUAAUACCGGAUAAUAUUUUGAACCGCAUGGUUCAAAAGUGAAAGACGGUCUUUCUGUCACUUAUAGAUGGAUCCGCGCUGCAUUAGCUAGUUGGUAAGGUAACGGCUUACCAAGGCAACGAUGCAUAGCCGACCUGAGAGGGUGAUCGGCCACACUGGAACUGAGACACGGUCCAGACUCCUACGGGAGGCAGCAGUAGGGAAUCUUCCGCAAAGGGCGAAAGCCUGACGGAGCAACGCCGCGUGAGUGAUGAAGGUCUUCGGAUCGUAAAACUCUGUUAUUAGGGAAGAACAUAUGUGUAAGUAACUGUGCACAUCUUGACGGUACCUAAUCAGAAAGCCACGGCUAACUACGUG